This 253-nucleotide ribosomal RNA is filed under the name uncultured bacterium. RNAcentral describes it as "partial 16S ribosomal RNA". It matches the Rfam family "Bacterial small subunit ribosomal RNA", at positions 524 to 776 of the family's 1533-position model. The record is from RNAcentral.
UACGGAGGAUCCAAGCGUUAUCCGGAAUCAUUGGGUUUAAAGGGUCCGUAGGCGGUUUUGUAAGUCAGUGGUGAAAGCCCAUCGCUCAACGGUGGAACGGCCAUUGAUACUGCAAAACUUGAAUUAUUGGGAAGUAACUAGAAUAUGUAGUGUAGCGGUGAAAUGCUUAGAUAUUACAUGGAAUACCAAUUGCGAAGGCAGGUUACUAUCAAUAUAUUGACGCUGAUGGACGAAAGCGUGGGGAGCGAACAGG